CCGCCGGCGACCGGCGCACGGGUGAGUAACACGUAUGCAACCUGGCCGUGACAGAUGGAUAACCGGGAGAAAUCCCGCCUAAUACAGCAUGACGCCGGGAAGGGACAUCCCUUUCCGGCCAAAGGGGGCGACCCCGGUCACGGAUGGGCAUGCGGCGCAUUAGGUAGUUGGUGGGGCAACGGCCCACCAAGCCGACGAUGCGUAGGGGUUCUGAGAGGAAGGUCCCCCACAUUGGAACUGAGACACGGUCCAAACUCCUACGGGAGGCAGCAG
This 273-nucleotide ribosomal RNA is filed under the name uncultured bacterium. RNAcentral's name for it is "partial 16S ribosomal RNA". It matches the Rfam family "Bacterial small subunit ribosomal RNA", at positions 85 to 354 of the family's 1533-position model. The record is from RNAcentral.